GCACCCAAGCCUGGGCAACAAAGCAAGAAUCUGUCUCAAAAAAAAGAAAAAAGAAGAAAAAGAAGAAGAGAAGAGAAACAUUCUGUUUUAGUCAAAUGGGCUAGAUUUAUUUGACCAGCAUGUGCAUGCAAGUGUGUUGUAGGGAAAAACUGAGCCUUCUUACGAAAAACCUUCUGUUGUAAUCCCUAGGUCUUUAAUGACCCCUCUCAUGGAGGCCCUGAAGCUGAUGUGUAAGGGCAGAUUAAAGAUGGAGAAGGGUACAAAGCAUCUCAAGUUUUGUUCAACUACUUGCUUUCAUUUAUCACACUUGCAGGUUUUAUGACUAGUUAAACAUCUUUUCAUUUGUACUUGAUGGUUAAUUUUUUUCUAAAUCAAUCUUCCGUGAGAAGACGGAGGGAAAGACUGGUUAGGUUUUUCUUUAUGCUCGAACUUUACACCUUGGAAAUAUUUAUGGUUCACUCUUGGUUCUUCUUAUCCAAGGGAAGUAGCCUUGCUAAUUGAAUGAAGCUUAGACAUCCUCAAAACCUGUCCUCUCACAGUCUGAGUGAGGAAAUAGGCCUGGAAAGGUCAAGAACUCCUCCAACAUGGCAGAGGCAGGUUUAGCACCCAGGUGUCCUGGGAUCUCUCCCUAGCCCGUCACUUUGACUUUUGGUCUUUCACCACUUGAUCUGGUCAUGUUGCAGAACUUUUAGGUCUAUCUUGGAGUUAUUGCUGUCUAAAUUGUCAUCAACAAGUCUUUAUAAUCUGCCAGUAUUUAUUUACAUCCUCUCAGGGGUGAUAAAGAUUUAUGUGAUGGAUAUUUGUUAUUUGAGGAGGGAUUUCACUUUUAAAAAUAAACAAAAUAAUUUAGAGGUAAUCUGUGAGCAAUACAGGUAACUCUGUUUUUCAUUUUUUCCAUUAAAUGCCGAGAAAUAGCUUUAAAACAAUAAAGUCAGUGCUGGUGGUGGCUUAAAAACAACCUCUAAAGUUCCUUUUAGAAAAGGAGUUCCAGUAAGUUUAAACUGAUUUCUUACUUAUUUUAAUAUGUGAAAAAGUCAUAUAGCUUUAUAGAAUUUAUAAUGUCUUCACAGCAUGAUGAUUUGCUACCAAGUAUAAUCUAAAUUUCCACAGGACGGUUAGACUUAAUUGAGGUAUUAUCAUUCUACAAAGCCAAACUUCUGAAUAUCAGAAUGUUCUCGUUGUGUCUACAAUAAGCAUAAGAAUUUAGAGAAUUCUGCAUUUGAAUUUAGGGUUUUUCUUAUGAUUGGCCUAAGUGUAAAUAUUUCAUAUAGCUUUCAAAAAAGAACCAAUUCCAGAAUAUUUUUUUCCUUUCAAAUUUGUGUUUGGUCUAGUGGGAAGCAUAUAUGUUAAGAAACAGAAUCAUAGAUCUUUUUUAGGCAAUAGAAAAAUUAUUUAUAUGGAUUUAUAUUUGUGUAUGUUCCUAUUGUAAAAAAAUUGUCUUAAUUCAUUCUUACUGGCAUAGCAAAACUAGAUAAUCCCACUUUGCCAGUUACUGUAACCUGUUACUUCUUUUACUUUAUGGAUCAAGUAGGGAAAAAAGUUUUUGACAGUAGCUGAACUUAUUUCUGUUUCUGGAACACAGUUCUACAAAAGACCAACUUUUAAAGUAAAAAUGAAUAAAAAAUAAGAAACAAUGUAUGUUUCUCUUGCUAAUUCAACCUAGAAGCAGAUGGAGAGGCCAUGGAGGUAAGUCCUGUGCUUCUAUAGGCCUGAUUCUUGUUUCUAAUAUUUGAUCUAAUUGUAUCAGUUUAUGUCUCCUGGGAAACAGACACCAAAAUAUAAUUAGAAGAGCAAGAAAUUUAUCAAGAGUAAUUUCAGUGAAAGAUAAAGAGGAAAAGGAAGCAGGAAUAGACAAAGAAAGACUCAGACUACUGUGAUAUAAGUCUGACCCCUGCAGAAAGGGAGAAUAGGAAAGAAGGAUUCGGCAGGCCUAGCCUCAAAGGGCAUUAAGUAUACCACUGACAAAACCUCAGCCAACCAAAAGAGAGCUCUGGUGCAAAGAGUGACAGAGGAGGAACUCUGCAUAAGGGGCAGAUGGCCAGGCCCUGGUACACCAUACCCAGGCAUAUCUAGUCUCCUGAGGGCACUAGAGCAGGAGGCUCUCAACUGACUGCACUCCUCCAGGUGAAUAGUAGUGUAUUCAUAUUCUUUUUAUAUGAGGAGUGCAUCCUGACUGCCCCAUUAGUAGUGAGAGAUAUUACAUUUUUCUUGGAAGGGCACCUUCCAAGAAACUGUGGGGAUACUUGCAAACCGUGGGGAUACCUUGGGCAUAUUGAAUAGUAUCACGGUAAAGUUGGACUCCUGAAGUCAACUCAUUCACAGGAGUCAUAUCAGUAUCCUGCAUGCCAUUGUUUUCUACUAAAAAGUCCCAAACUGGCAGUUCUAUGUUUUAAGCAAGAUGAUGAGGUGCAUUUCUAACAAAUUCUUAUUGCUAAACUGAGGGAAAUAUGGCAACGCUGUCAAAAGUAAUAUGUACUCAUUAUCUUUUGAAUAAUUGGAGCAAAGCUGAGAUUGUUAACAAUACAUAAUUGGUUGACGUGCUACCAGGGACAUUUCAUGCCCUUGUGCAGUUCUGUGAAAUCAGUUUGGAUUGUGGUCUUCUAGUCCCUGGUCUCUCUCUCUUUCGUUACUCCAGCAAUCCAUCCUGUUGAUAAACAGUUAAUUUUAAAUCACAGAGGUCAUUUAUAGCUAGCGUAUUAGAUUGUGAGGAAUUGGCUUUUGCAAUUAUGGAGGCUGAAAAGUCCUAUAAUCUGCAAGCUGGAGACCCAGUAAAGCCAGUGGUAUAAUUAUAGUCCAAUUCUGAAUGCCUGACAACCAGGGGAGUGGAAGAUGUAAAUCUCAGUUCAAGCACAGAAGGCUGAUGUCUCAGCUCAGGCAAGCAGGCAAGAAGCAAAAGGGAAAAAUUCCUCUUUCCUCCACUUUUUUCCUUCUAUUUAGGCCUUCAACAGGUUAGAUGAUGCCAGCCUAUACCAGUGAGAAUCAUCUACUUUAUGGAGUCCACUGAUUUAAAUGCUAACCUCAUGUGGAAAUACCUGCAUGGACGCAGCCAGAAUUAAUGUUUACACUGAGCGCACCAUGGCACAGUAGAGUUGACACAUGCAAUUAACCAUCACACCUAGGAACACAGGAGCAAUCAAUUUUGUUAAGGGGAUUCAG
Sapajus apella (tufted capuchin) is the source of this 3156-nucleotide long non-coding RNA. RefSeq lists it as uncharacterized. Lineage: Eukaryota; Metazoa; Chordata; Mammalia; Primates; Cebidae. The transcript is spliced from 2 exons. The record is from RefSeq and is a predicted model, not a curated record.